Molecule: ribosomal RNA, 462 nt
Filed under: uncultured bacterium
Lineage: Bacteria
Description: bacterial SSU rRNA
Rfam family: Bacterial small subunit ribosomal RNA
Source: RNAcentral
CCAGACUCCUACGGGAGGCAGCAGUGAGGAAUAUUGGUCAAUGGGCGGGAGCCUGAACCAGCCAAGUCGCGUGAGGGAGUACUGCCCUAUGGGUUGUAAACCUCUUUUGUCGGGGAGCAAAAGCCGGACGUGUCCGGCUGUGAGAGUACCCGAAGAAAAAGCAUCGGCUAACUCCGUGCCAGCAGCCGCGGUAAUACGGAGGAUGCGAGCGUUAUCCGGAUUUAUUGGGUUUAAAGGGUGCGCAGGCGGAUUUUUAAGUCAGCGGUAAAAUCGUGGGGCUCAACCCCAUCCAGCCGUUGAAACUGGGGAUCUAGAGUGUGCGAGAAGAAGGCGGAAUGCGUGGUGUAGCGGUGAAAUGCAUAGAUAUCACGCAGAACCCCGAUUGCGAAGGCAGCCUUCCGGCGCCCUACUGACGCUGAGGCACGAAAGUGCGGGGAUCGAACAGGAUUAGAUACCCGCGUA